GAGAGGUCUAGAAGACUUGCUAACUCUUCAACCUGGGAUUAACGCCAGCCCUCUCU
This 56-nucleotide transfer RNA is filed under the name Metlapilcoatlus indomitus. Its description in RNAcentral is "Atropoides indomitus tRNA-Ser". The record is from RNAcentral. Lineage: Eukaryota; Metazoa; Chordata; Lepidosauria; Squamata; Viperidae.